Molecule: ribosomal RNA, 626 nt
Filed under: uncultured fungus
Lineage: Eukaryota; Fungi
Description: eukaryotic LSU rRNA
Rfam family: 5.8S ribosomal RNA (bases 285-438)
Source: RNAcentral
AAGUCGUAACAAGGUUUCCGUAGGUGAACCUGCGGAAGGAUCAUUACUAGAGCAAAGGAUAGACAGCACCCCACAGAAGCUUGCUUCGUGGGGGCUACCCUACUUCGGUAGGGUUUAGAGUCGUCGGGCCUCUCGGAGAAGCUCGGUCCUGAACUCCACCCUUGAAUAAAUUACCUUUGUUGCUUUGGCGGGCCGCCUCGUGCCAGCGGCUUCGGCUGUUGAGUGCCCGCCAGAGGACCACAACUCUUGUUUUUAGUGAUGUCUGAGUACUAUAUAAUAGUUAAAACUUUCAACAACGGAUCUCUUGGUUCUGGCAUCGAUGAAGAACGCAGCGAAAUGCGAUAAGUAAUGUGAAUUGCAGAAUUCAGUGAAUCAUCGAAUCUUUGAACGCACAUUGCGCCCUCUGGUAUUCCGGGGGGCAUGCCUGUUCGAGCGUCAUUAUAACCACUCAAGCUCUCGCUUGGUAUUGGAGUUCGCGGUUUCGCGGCCCCUAAAAUCAGUGGCGGUGCCUGUCGGCUCUACGCGUAGUAAUACUCCUCGCGAUUGAGUCCGGUAGGUCUACUUGCCAGCAACCCCCAAUUUUUACAGGUUGACCUCGGAUCAGGUAGGGAUACCCGCUGAACUUA